UGUCACGACUUCCACCGAAGGUGACUCCUCUCCCUGUUCGGGCGGUGCUCGGUGGUCGUCGUCGCCGGUCUACUAGCUGCCACUGAUCCUUUUUGCUGAUCCUUUUUGCUUUUCUUUUGGUUAUGUCUGACCACGGUAAAGGAUGUGCAGCGGUUUUUAGGGUUUGCCAAUUACUACCGAAGUUUUAUCCGGGGUUUUGGGCAGGUGGCUGCUCCCAAUACUUCACUGCUGAAGGGGGGGGCGGUGCGUUUGCGGUGGUCGGCGGAGGCGGACAGAGGUUUUGGUCGUCUGAAGGCGUUGUUUACCGACGCUCCCGUAUUGGCGCAUCCGGACCCCUCUUUGCCAUUCAUAGUGGAGGUGGACGCGUCCGAGGCUGGUGUUGGAGCCGUGCUAUCGCAGCGCUCGGGCGCACCUCCGAAGCUUCGCCCCUGCGCUUUCUUUUUGAGGAAGCUCAGUCCGGCGGAGCGAAACUAUGAUGUGGGGGAUCGGGAGUGGCUGGCUGUGGUAAAAGCUCUGAAGGUGUGGAGACAUUGGCUUGAGGGAGCGAAACACUCUUUUCUCAUCUGGACUGCACCGUAAUCUGGAGUACAUUCGGGCGGCGAGGAGACUGAAUCCUCGCCAGGCAAGGCCGGUGGCAGCUGGUCCACUACAGGACGUUGAGGUGCGGGAGGUCCCUCCGCCCCCCUGGACAUCGAGGGGGGUCCGGCGUACACUGUACGGUCCAUCUUGGACUCUAGACGUCGGGUGGGGGGCCUGUAGUACCUCAUGGAUUGGGAGGGGUACGGUCUGGAGGAGAUGUGCUGGGUGCCGGUGGGGGACAUCUUGGACCCAUCUCUGCUGGGUGAGUUCCACCGCCUCCGUCCUGAACGCCCUGCGCCUCGGGGUCGUCCUCGAGUCGGGGGGGGGGGGGUACUGUCACGACUUCCACCGCAGGUGGCUCCUCUUCCUGUCCGGGCGGUGCUCGGCGGUCGUCGUCGCCAAUCUACUAGCUGCCACCGAUCCUUUUUGCUUUUCUUUUGGUUAUGUCUGUUUUGUGUUUUCACCUGGUUUCAUUUUGGUUAAAUGGGGGGGUAUUUAUCUCGAAAUUUCGUUUGGAUUUUUGUGCGGUAUUGUUUUUGUUUACUGUCAAUUUGGGUUGUGUUUUUCGCUAGUUCAUGUUUUACAGGUGUUUUUCCCUGGACUGUGUCUUAGUGGGUUUCAUGGCUACUGCUGUAGUCAGGUGUCCUGUGAUUUUUGAGCUGGUUGAUUAAAUGCCCUUUUCAUCCUG
Salvelinus fontinalis (brook trout) is the source of this 1267-nucleotide long non-coding RNA. RefSeq lists it as uncharacterized. NCBI's taxonomy places the organism in Eukaryota, Metazoa, Chordata, Actinopteri, Salmoniformes, Salmonidae. The record is from RefSeq and is a predicted model, not a curated record. The transcript has 2 exons.